Molecule: ribosomal RNA, 774 nt
Filed under: uncultured Neocallimastigales
Lineage: Eukaryota; Fungi; Neocallimastigomycota; Neocallimastigomycetes; Neocallimastigales
Description: partial large subunit ribosomal RNA
Rfam family: Eukaryotic large subunit ribosomal RNA
Source: RNAcentral
AGAGAUGUGUGAUGACGCAUAUCAAUAAGCGGAGGAAAAGAAACUAACAAGGAUUCCCUUAGUAACGGCGAGUGAAGCGGGAAGAGCUCAAAUUUGAAAUCUUCAAGGUUCUACCUUGACGAAUUGUAGUUUAUAGAAGUGUUUUCUGUUAGUGGAGUGGCAAAAGUUCUUUGGAAUAGGACAUCAUAGAGGGUGAGAAUCCCGUAUUUGGUCAUUCCUCCUAGCGUUGUGAUACACUUUCAACGAGUCGGAUUGUUUGGGAAUGCAGUCCAAAAUGGGUGGUAAAUUUCAUCUAAAGCUAAAUAUUGGCGAGAGACCGAUAGCGAACAAGUACCGUGAGGGAAAGAUGAAAAGAACUUUGAAAAGAGAGUUAAACAGUACGUGAAAUCGUCAAAAGGGAAGCGUUUGACACCAGUGUUGUUUUUCCGAAAAUCAAUUACGAAUGUUUUAUUUUUGAGGAGUUAUGACUUCAUCGGCUUGCUCCUUUCUUUAUGAAACUUUCUUAAUGCACUUUUCGGUUAACAAGUCAACAUCAAUUUCUUUUGUUGUAAAAGGGUAUGAGGAAGGUGGCUUUCUUUUCGGAGAAAGUGUUUAUAGCCUUGUGCCUCUGCAAUCGGAGAGAUUGAGGUCUGCAGCGUAGAUCCUUCGGGGUUAGAUACGUUUGUGCUAAGUUAUAGCUUUUCAUAGGCAACUUGUUGACUAUGUUUAGUCUUGUAACUUACUCGCUGACGCUAUUUUACCUACGCUUAGGAUGUUGAGUAGCGACAUACGCAC